RNAcentral lists this ribosomal RNA (679 nucleotides) under Clostridioides difficile. RNAcentral describes it as "bacterial SSU rRNA". It matches the Rfam family "Bacterial small subunit ribosomal RNA", at positions 711 to 1390 of the family's 1533-position model. Lineage: Bacteria; Bacillati; Bacillota; Clostridia; Peptostreptococcales; Peptostreptococcaceae. The record is from RNAcentral.
AGUUGCGAAGGCGGCUCUCUGGACUGUAACUGACGCUGAGGCACGAAAGCGUGGGGAGCAAACAGGAUUAGAUACCCUGGUAGUCCACGCUGUAAACGAUGAGUACUAGGUGUCGGGGGUUACCCCCGUCGGGGCCGCAGCUAACGCAUUAAGUACUCCGCCUGGGAAGUACGCUCGCAAGAGGGAAACUCAAAGGAAUUGACGGGGACCCGAACAAGUAGCGGAGCAUGUGGUUUAAUUCGAAGCAACGCGAAGAACCUUACCUAAGCUUGACAUCCCAAUGACAUCUCCUUAAUCGGAGAGUUCCUUUCGGGGACAUUGGUGACAGGUGGUGCAUGGUUGUCGUCAGCUCGUGUCGUGAGAUGUUGGGUUAAGUCCCGCAACGAGCGCAACCCUUGUCUUUAGUUGCCAUCAUUAAGUUGGGCACUCUAGAGAGACUGCCAGGGAUAACCUGGAGGAAGGUGGGGAUGACGUCAAAUCAUCAUGCCCCUUAUGCUUAGGGCUACACACGUGCUACAAUGGGUAGUACAGAGGGUUGCCAAGCCGUAAGGUGGAGCUAAUCCCUUAAAGCUACUCUCAGUUCGGAUUGUAGGCUGAAACUCGCCUACAUGAAGCUGGAGUUACUAGUAAUCGCAGAUCAGAAUGCUGCGGUGAAUGCGUUCCCGGGUCUUGUACACAC